Non-coding RNA from Triticum aestivum (bread wheat), 135 nucleotides. NCBI's taxonomy places the organism in Eukaryota, Viridiplantae, Streptophyta, Magnoliopsida, Poales, Poaceae. The record is from Rfam.
UAUAGACUCCCUCCGUCCGAAAAUACUUGUCAUCAAAAUUAAUAAAAGGGAAUGUAUCUAGAUGUAUUUUAGUUCUAGAUACAUCCCUUUUUAUCCAUUUUGAUGACAAGUAUUUUCGGACGGAGGGAGUACUAG